This 253-nucleotide ribosomal RNA is filed under the name uncultured bacterium. RNAcentral's name for it is "partial 16S ribosomal RNA". It matches the Rfam family "Bacterial small subunit ribosomal RNA", at positions 524 to 776 of the family's 1533-position model. The record is from RNAcentral.
UACGUAGGGUGCGAGCGUUAAUCGGAAUUACUGGGCGUAAAGUGUGCGCAGGUGGCCGCGCAAGUCGAGUGUGAAAUCCCCGAGCUUAACUUGGGAAUUGCGCUCGAAACUACGGGGCUCGAGUGUGGCAGAGGGAGGUGGAAUUCCACGUGUAGCGGUGAAAUGCGUAGAGAUGUGGAGGAACACCAAUGGCGAAGGCAGCCUCCUGGGCCAACACUGACGCUCAUGCACGAAAGCGUGGGGAGCAAACAGG